This is a long non-coding RNA of Oncorhynchus keta (chum salmon), 180 nucleotides long. RefSeq lists it as uncharacterized. The record is from RefSeq and is a predicted model, not a curated record. NCBI's taxonomy places the organism in Eukaryota, Metazoa, Chordata, Actinopteri, Salmoniformes, Salmonidae. The transcript has 3 exons.
GUAUACUGUGUUGUUCUUUCCUCUGACCAAUCCUUAAAGGUGGUAUACUGUGUUGUUCGUUCUCCAUUCCUCUGACCAAUCCUUAAAGGUGGUAUACUGUGUUGUUCGUUCUCCAUUCCUCUGACCAAUCCUUAAAGGUGGUAUACUGUGUUGUUCGUUCUCCAUUCCUCUGACCAAUCC